RNAcentral lists this ribosomal RNA (252 nucleotides) under uncultured bacterium. RNAcentral describes it as "partial 16S ribosomal RNA". It matches the Rfam family "Bacterial small subunit ribosomal RNA", at positions 524 to 775 of the family's 1533-position model. The record is from RNAcentral.
UACGUAGGGUGCAAGCGUUAAUCGGAAUUACUGGGCGUAAAGCGUGCGCAGGCGGUUCUAUAAGACAGAUGUGAAAUCCCCGGGCUCAACCUGGGAACUGCAUUUGUGACUGUAGAGCUGGAGUACGGCAGAGGGGGAUGGAAUUCCGCGUGUAGCAGUGAAAUGCGUAGAUAUGCGGAGGAACACCGAUGGCGAAGGCAAUCCCCUGGGCCUGUACUGACGCUCAUGCACGAAAGCGUGGGGAGCAACAGG